RNAcentral lists this ribosomal RNA (394 nucleotides) under uncultured bacterium. Its description in RNAcentral is "bacterial SSU rRNA". It matches the Rfam family "Bacterial small subunit ribosomal RNA", at positions 29 to 429 of the family's 1533-position model. The record is from RNAcentral.
AGCGAACGUUUGCGGCGGGCCUAACACAUGCAAGUCGAACGGGCUAGCAAUAGUCAGUGGCGCACGGGUGCGUAACACGUGGGUAAUCAACCCUUCAGCUCGGGAUAACGCCUUGAAAGGGCGCUAAUACCGGAUGCGACGCGAGGAGCCUCGGCGCUUCGCGGGGAAAGAUUCGCAAGGAUCACUGAAGGACGAGCCUGCGGCCCAUCAGCUAGUUGGUGAGGUAAGAGCUCACCAAGGCGAAGACGGGUAGCUGGUCUGAGAGGAUGAUCAGCCACACUGGAACUGAGACACGGUCCAGACUCCUACGGGAGGCAGCAGUGGGGAAUAUUGCGCAAUGGGCGAAAGCCUGACGCAGCCACGCCGCGUGAGCGAUGAAGGCCUCGGUCGUAAG